Molecule: non-coding RNA, 85 nt
Filed under: Ctenophora environmental sample
Lineage: Eukaryota; Metazoa; Ctenophora
Source: RNAcentral
ACCAAAGUGUCAUUUUUUGAAGGAUUCAAGAGAGAUGUUGUUACUGCGGUGUAGCUGGUUUCUUGCUUUGCUGUUCAUGACACAG